CUUCAUUGUUUAAUUACAUUUAUUUAGUGCAAUAGUAUCAUAGUACACAUGUACCAAGCCAAACUAUGAUAUAAAAGGCAGCAUAUGGCAAAUAUUAAGUGGGCUUGAAAGUAGAAGCAAGAACGAGAGAUAAAAGACCGUCUUCCUGUUUCUAACCUUAAUUUGAACGGGACAAAAGUACCUUAAAAGCUUGAAAGUAGAGGCAUCCGGAAAUCACUGAUCACUGCCGUUGUCUUCGGUACCAAUAGUCCUGCCCGCUUUGUUGCCAAUCGCCAGUGACGAUAAACCACCUUCUGGUUUCAUGUAUCUUUGCACGAUUUUUUGUGGUGUAAGAUGGUCAAAUGUGUGAUGCCCGUGCCAAAUUUGGUGGAGCAUGAACAUUCGAGGAGCUCAUAAAAAAAACCAAGCCUCUGAGAGAGUUUGAAAUAGAUUAUUUUGCCUUUUUGGCCGAAAACUCCUCGAAUGUCAUUUACCCGCUACUUUGUGUACGCACCUACUGCACUGAAGCAUCUUCAUGCAAAAAAGUUGUUAGAUAAAAUGAGAUAAACGAGACACAAGAGACACGGAUGUUUACGUGGAAAUCCUUGCGGGAGAAAACCACGGACGCACGAAGGCGCAAUCAUUAUGAGGGUGGAGUAUUACAAGCACGAGACGACAGGCCGUUUUUAGGUGCGAAUACAUGGAGUAUAUAUGAGGGGCAAUACAUGAGAGUCCUUGGAGGACAAGUAAAUGAGUUGUACUCGUACGCGUCGGUACCAACGCAAAGGCUCACACCGUUUGUACUAUGUCUAGUCCAAUACAGUAGAAUUUGG
RNAcentral lists this long non-coding RNA (812 nucleotides) under Hordeum vulgare. RNAcentral describes it as "long non-coding RNA (HVUL_LNC017581)". Lineage: Eukaryota; Viridiplantae; Streptophyta; Magnoliopsida; Poales; Poaceae. The record is from RNAcentral.